UUCUGGUGUGUUCUCUUUUCCAGGUGGUUGGUGUUUCUGCAGUGUUUGGCACAGGACUGGGGGAGAUUUUUACCCAGCUUUCUAAAGCUGUAGAUGAAUAGGAGAGACUGAAUGCACUCCCUUUAUUCACCUUUUCAGAGAGUAUCGGCCAGAAUACGAGCGCCUGAGAAAAACACUGGACCUGAUGCUUCUGCAAUGGGUCCCUCUGAGCUAAUACUAACACGAGGAACUCUCGAUGAAGAGCAAGAAGAGAGGGAGAGUGACGCUGAUGGCAUUGACCACGAAGGUAAGGGAAUGAGGUCUAAAAGCUGCCUCUCAAGAAAUCCCCUCUAUAUUUCAUGUCCUGGAUGGACUGUAAGGAGAGCCUAGAAAACAAGCAAACAUUCAGUCACCUGACGUGUCAGAAUCUGUAGCAGAAGCUCAGCUGCAAUGGUCAGUGCAGGGAUAUCACUCUGUAACCUUUGUGAAAGUUCAAUUGUAAAUUUUCUAUUCAAGUAAUUAAUAGGUGUAUAACACACAUAAACCAGAGAACUCGUUAGGCUUGGGGCAUGCAGUGACCUCUGAACCUGAUUGAUGCACAGAUGUGUCCAUCAUCUUUUUGGCCUUACAGUUUCUGCCCCUGGCUCUCUUCCCUUUUCCUGUGACUGUGGUCUUGGAGCAAUCUUCUAAGUUGUUACAGUGUGAUUUUUCUCUUCUAUAGCUCACAGACUUAAUCUUCAUUCUUUCCCUGUUCCACUGAUGGGUAGGAUCACUUAUUUCCUUUGCCCUGUAAUGUAGCUGAAGAUGGAAUAGACUUUCUAUGUUGCUUUGGCUA
Long non-coding RNA from Pseudopipra pipra, 814 nucleotides. RefSeq lists it as uncharacterized. NCBI's taxonomy places the organism in Eukaryota, Metazoa, Chordata, Aves, Passeriformes, Pipridae. The record is from RefSeq and is a predicted model, not a curated record. The transcript is spliced from 3 exons.